ACGGGUGAGUAACGCGUGGGAACAUACCCUUUUCUACGGAAUAGCUCUGGGAAACUGGAAUUAAUACCGUAUACGCCCUACGGGGGAAAGAUUUAUCGGGGAAGGAUUGGCCCGCGUUGGAUUAACUAGUUGGUGGGGUAAAGGCCUACCAAGGCGACGAUCCAUAGCUGGUCUGAGAGGAUGAUCAGCCACAUUGGGACUGAGACACGGCCCAAACUCCUACGGGAGGCAGCAGUGGGGAAUAUUGGACAAUGGGCGCAAGCCUGAUCCAGCCAUGCCGCGUGAGUGAUGAAGGCCUUAGGGUUGUAAAGCUCUUUCACCGAUGAAGAUAAUGACGGUAGUCGGAGAAGAAGCCCCGGCUAACUUCGUGCCAGCAGCCGCGGUAAUACGAAGGGGGCUAGCGUUGUUCGGAAUUACUGGGCGUAAAGCGCACGUAGGCGGAUAUUUAAGUCAGGGGUGAAAUCCCAGAGCUCAACUCUGGAACUGCCUUUGAUACUGGGUAUCUUGAGUAUGGAAGAGGUAAGUGGAAUUGCGAGUGUAGAGGUGAAAUUCGUAGA
RNAcentral lists this ribosomal RNA (557 nucleotides) under uncultured bacterium. Its description in RNAcentral is "bacterial SSU rRNA". It matches the Rfam family "Bacterial small subunit ribosomal RNA", at positions 102 to 694 of the family's 1533-position model. The record is from RNAcentral.